Cervus hanglu yarkandensis (Yarkand deer) is the source of this 103-nucleotide small nuclear RNA. The record is from Ensembl. NCBI's taxonomy places the organism in Eukaryota, Metazoa, Chordata, Mammalia, Artiodactyla, Cervidae.
GUGCUUUGGCGGCACACAUAAUAAAAUUGGAACGAUGCAAAGAAUAUUAGCACGGCCCCUGUGCAAGGAUGACACGCAGAUUUGUAAAGUGUUCCAUAGUUUU